UACGUAGGGUGCAAGCGUUAAUCGGAAUUACUGGGCGUAAAGCGUGCGCAGGCGGUUAUGUAAGACAGAUGUGAAAUCCCCGGGCUCAACCUGGGAACUGCAUUUGUGACUGCAUAGCUAGAGUACGGUAGAGGGGGAUGGAAUUCCACGUGUAGCAGUGAAAUGCGUAGAGAUGUGGAGGAACACCCGAUGGCGAAGGCAGCCCCCUGGGCCAAUACUGACGCUCAUGCCACGAAAGCGUGGGGAGCAAACAGG
This 255-nucleotide ribosomal RNA is filed under the name uncultured bacterium. Its description in RNAcentral is "partial 16S ribosomal RNA". It matches the Rfam family "Bacterial small subunit ribosomal RNA", at positions 524 to 776 of the family's 1533-position model. The record is from RNAcentral.